GGUUAAGCGACUAAGCGUACACGGUGGAUGCCCUGGCAGUCAGAGGCGAUGAAGGACGUGCUAAUCUGCGAUAAGCGUCGGUAAGGUGAUAUGAACCGUUAUAACCGGCGAUUUCCGAAUGGGGAAACCCAGUGUGAUUCGUCACACUAUCGUUAACUGAAUACAUAGGUUAACGAAGCGAACCGGGGGAACUGAAACAUCUAAGUACCCCGAGGAAAAGAAAUCAACCGAGAU
RNAcentral lists this ribosomal RNA (234 nucleotides) under Salmonella enterica subsp. enterica serovar Enteritidis. Its description in RNAcentral is "partial 23S ribosomal RNA". It matches the Rfam family "Bacterial large subunit ribosomal RNA", at positions 1 to 235 of the family's 2925-position model. The record is from RNAcentral. Lineage: Bacteria; Pseudomonadati; Pseudomonadota; Gammaproteobacteria; Enterobacterales; Enterobacteriaceae.